GUGGGGAAUAUUGGACAAUGGGCGAAAGCCUGAUCCAGCCAUGCCGCGUGUGUGAAGAAGGUCUUCGGAUUGUAAAGCACUUUCAGUUGGGAGGAAGGGCAGUAAGUUAAUACCUUGCUGUUUUGACGUUACCGACAGAAUAAGCACCGGCUAACUUCGUGCCAGCAGCCGCGGUAAUACGAAGGGUGCAAGCGUUAAUCGGAAUUACUGGGCGUAAAGCGCGCGUAGGUGGUUUUGUAAGUUGGAGGUGAAAUCCCCGGGCUCAACCUGGGAACUGCCUCCAAAACUGCAUGACUAGAGUACGGUAGAGGGUAGUGGAAUUUCCUGUGUAGCGGUGAAAUGCGUAGAUAUAGGAAGGAACACCAGUGGCGAAGGCGACUACCUGGACUGAUACUGACACUGAGGUGCGAAAGCGUGGGGAGCAAACAGGAUUAGAAACCCUUGUAGUCC
Molecule: ribosomal RNA, 450 nt
Filed under: uncultured bacterium
Lineage: Bacteria
Description: partial 16S ribosomal RNA
Rfam family: Bacterial small subunit ribosomal RNA
Source: RNAcentral